This is a long non-coding RNA of Topomyia yanbarensis, 757 nucleotides long. RefSeq lists it as uncharacterized. The record is from RefSeq and is a predicted model, not a curated record. The transcript is spliced from 3 exons. Lineage: Eukaryota; Metazoa; Arthropoda; Insecta; Diptera; Culicidae.
AUUCAAGCUCAGAGAAUAAUGACAUAAUCAAACUAGUAAUCAAACGUUAGCGUAAAAACCCUAAAGCCAGUUAUCGUUUCUGGACAAAAUUACUAAGAGUGAUUUCGGCACUAUGAGACUACUCGCAUUAUUCGCCACUUUUGUGGUCGUAGCCUACGGCAGCAUAGAGAAGCUGCUCCUUAUCAAGGCCACCAUUUUCCUCACCGCCGUACUGAUCAAAUUGGUAUCGUCGUUCAGCGCGGCAGAAUUCGGGCAGGAUGUUCAUAGUGCCUGGACUGGAGAUCAUUUCAGAGAUUGUUGAGAUCAUAGAAAAACGACGGUGCAUCUGGAGACCCGAUUGUGGAAACGUUUGUUGGGGUGAACUAGUGCAGGCGUUGCUGGCCCUGCUGUCCGUGAUAGUUACCUCGACGGAAGUGCUCUGGGCAGCGUGGUGUAUUCAUGGUAGCUAAGUGCAUUUUGAUUGCGGUCAAGAUGGUUGACUUGGUGGAUUGGUGUGAGGAGGCGAAGGAGACUAUCUUUGUGUGGAGCGAAGGAAUUAUUUUAGCUUUGGAAAUUAGCUCGAUUUUGGUCGAUUUAUUUUUUGGAGACGGAACAUGGAAGCAGUUGAUCGAAGGUUCGAGUGCUUUUGUAAAGUUCUUCUGGUCAUUGGCUGUCAUCAAUUGUGUAUUUGAAAAAAUAAUGCACAUCGGACUGACUUAUUGGAAAAGAAAGGCUCGUGAACGAAGGAUCAUAGACAUUGUGUGAUAAGAAUAAAUCC